RNAcentral lists this ribosomal RNA (417 nucleotides) under Triticum aestivum (bread wheat). Its description in RNAcentral is "partial small subunit ribosomal RNA". The record is from RNAcentral. Lineage: Eukaryota; Viridiplantae; Streptophyta; Magnoliopsida; Poales; Poaceae.
AUGGAGACAUCUGCUAAUGAUGGCAGCACUUUAUGUAACCAACCUGCAAGCCUAUGCAAUGAUGAGGGUACUGUGGGAGAAAGGGAGUGGCCUUCUCAAAUGAAUAUCGCAAGUGCCCAGCCAGAAGAAAGAACGCCCGAAAUUGGUACAUCAACAAUCGCAGGUGGUUUGUUUCCUAUGCACGGAGAUGGAGGCAUGUCUUCACAGCCUGCAGCCGGAAAUGAAGACAAGGCAAGUGAGGACGUGCAAGAAGACAAUGCUUCUCUGCAGGUGACGGUGCCUGAUGCCAUACCGACGGUUUCGCAACCCUCGCGUGCCAUGGAACAUCAGCUGGCCAUUGCUAGCCUGAGGUGGGAACCAGACGAUCUGGACGAGAUGCAACCAGGCCCUUCUAGCAUUGCGAGCCCACCUCCAUAA